UACGGGGGGGGCAAGCGUUGUUCGGAAUUACUGGGCGUAAAGGGCUCGUAGGCGGCCAACUAAGUCGGACGUGAAAUCCCUCGGCUUAACCGGGGAACUGCGUCCGAUACUGGAUGGCUUGAGUGUGGGAGAGGGAUGCGGAAUUCCAGGUGUAGCGGUGAAAUGCGUAGAUAUCUGGAGGAACACCGGUGGCGAAGGCGGCAUCCUGGACCACGACUGACGCUGAGGAGCGAAAGCCAGGGGAGCAAACGGG
This 253-nucleotide ribosomal RNA is filed under the name uncultured bacterium. RNAcentral describes it as "partial 16S ribosomal RNA". It matches the Rfam family "Bacterial small subunit ribosomal RNA", at positions 524 to 776 of the family's 1533-position model. The record is from RNAcentral.